This is a non-coding RNA of Peromyscus maniculatus bairdii (prairie deer mouse), 1007 nucleotides long. NCBI's taxonomy places the organism in Eukaryota, Metazoa, Chordata, Mammalia, Rodentia, Cricetidae. The record is from RefSeq and is a predicted model, not a curated record.
UUUCCAUCAUGGCCACCAUCUCCCUCCCUACCACCCCAUCACCUCAUCCCACAGUGUCAGAACCAUGACUCCAGACUGUACCACCGUCUCCCUUCACUGAUUCAGCACAGCCAGGGCUUCUGAUGCACCUGCAGACAAAAGGAAGAAUGGGAAGAAUAACCAGGCUGCCGACGUCAGGUGCUCGUGAGUUUAUGACAAGAUGGCCAGACACCUCAGAAUAUCAGGCCUCUGACAGAGGAGAAGCAAAGGAUGGAUGCCAGGGGGGGCUGUCAUGGGGAGAAGAGACACAAGCCCAGAGAGGCUGCGCUCCUUGCUCAAGGUUGCACAGGAGUUGGUAAGAACACAGAUAUCCUGCCUACCAGUGUUUUUGUUCUUGGGCUUGAACCUGGCAGAUCGAGAGACUUCUGAGCCUCCAUGGUUUCAAGAUCCAAUUUUCCUCCGUCCCUCCCUUCUCACCACAAGACACUGGAUAAAAUGGAGAAAGUACGCUAAGCAUGUUUUCAUUUACUUAUUGCUUUCUGAUUGUGAAUGAGCUGUGACUCUUUCUCAGAAGUGGCCUCCUCCAAGUGAUAGGGACAAAGGUUCUUUGCCUAAGGAAAGGGUGACCCCUCCUGAGACAGUUGCUAUACUUCUAGACCUGUAACUAGAUUCAAGUCCCUAUAAAGCCAGGGCACACAGCGUGAUGCACGGGGAUGGGAACACGCUGUAUGUACUUCAGAACAAUGGCUUAUGUUUUCUAAUCAGUUCAAGCAGAAAUCCAAGGAAUUGGGGCACAUGGAUCAUAGAGUUUCAUCAGGCAAAAUGCAUUGAUACGGGCUCACCAACUAAGAGCCUGCAGCUAAUGCUCCCACUUAGCUAGUUGGGAGGGGUUCCAGAGGUCUGGUUGGUUAGUUGGUUGGCUGAAAUGUGGAUCAAAAGGUGACCCACCAUGAGUGUGCUGGACAGUUUUAUGUCAGCUUGACAUAGCUAAAAUCAUCAGAGAGAGAGAGAUAACCUUGCCAGGCGGU